UAAGGAAUAUUGGUCAAUGGACGCAAGUCUGAACCAGCCAUGCCGCGUGAAGGAUGAAGGUCCUCUGGAUUGUAAACUUCUUUUAUCUGGGACGAAAACGGGAUUUUUAUCUCAAUUGACGGUGCCAGAGGAAUAAGCACCGGCUAACUCCGUGCCAGCAGCCGCGGUAAUACGGAGGGUGCGAGCGUUAUCCGGAUUUACUGGGUUUAAAGGGUGCGUAGGUGGGCUUAUAAGUCAGUGGUGAAAUCUCCGAGCUUAACUUGGAAACUGCCGUUGAUACUAUAGAUCUUGAAUUAUCUGGAGGUAAGCGGAAUAUGUCAUGUAGCGGUGAAAUGCUUAGAUAUGACAUAGAACACCAAUUGCGAAGGCAGCUUACUACAUAUAAAUUGACGCUGAGGCACGAAAGCGUGGGGAUCAAACA
RNAcentral lists this ribosomal RNA (421 nucleotides) under uncultured bacterium. Its description in RNAcentral is "bacterial SSU rRNA". It matches the Rfam family "Bacterial small subunit ribosomal RNA", at positions 355 to 774 of the family's 1533-position model. The record is from RNAcentral.